GAGUUGUUAGAAUCAAAUUUAAAUUCAAAUUGUUGUCAACAAUUAAAUCCAUAGUGGACAACUCU
Molecule: transfer RNA, 65 nt
Filed under: Halocynthia roretzi
Lineage: Eukaryota; Metazoa; Chordata; Ascidiacea; Stolidobranchia; Pyuridae
Description: tRNA-Asp
Source: RNAcentral